This 82-nucleotide ribosomal RNA is filed under the name Schizophyllum commune. Its description in RNAcentral is "partial 28S ribosomal RNA". The record is from RNAcentral. Lineage: Eukaryota; Fungi; Basidiomycota; Agaricomycetes; Agaricales; Schizophyllaceae.
AAUAGGAGUCUGCUUCUAACCGUCUCUUGACCGAGACUAGCGACUUGUGCGCUAACUUUUGACUUGACCUCAAAUCAGGUAG